GCAGUGGUGGUUCAGUGGCAGAAUUCUUGCCUUUGGUGCAGGAGACCCAGGUUCAAUUCCUGGCCAAUGCG
Molecule: non-coding RNA, 71 nt
Organism: Orycteropus afer afer
Lineage: Eukaryota; Metazoa; Chordata; Mammalia; Tubulidentata; Orycteropodidae
Source: the annotation of a RefSeq genome assembly